GACGGAGCACGCCGCGUGAGUGAUGAAGGUUUUCGGAUCGUAAAGCUCUGUUGUUAGGGAAGAACAAGUGCAAGAGUAACUGCUUGCACCUUGACGGUACCUAACCAGAAAGCCACGGCUAACUACGUGCCAGCAGCCGCGGUAAUACGUAGGUGGCAAGCGUUGUCCGGAAUUAUUGGGCGUAAAGGGCUCGCAGGCGGUUUCUUAAGUCUGAUGUGAAAGCCCCCGGCUCAACCGGGGAGGGUCAUUGGAAACUGGGAAACUUGAGUGCAGAAGAGGAGAGUGGAAUUCCACGUGUAGCGGUGAAAUGCGUAGAGAUGUGGAGGAACACCAGUGGCGAAGGCGACUCUCUGGUCUGUAACUGACGCUGAGGAGCGAAAGCGUGGGGAGCGAACAGGAUUAGAUACCCUGGUAGUCCACGCCGUAAACGAUGAGUGCUAAGUGUUAGGGGGUUUCCGCCCCUUAGUGCUGCAGCUAACGCAUUAAGCACUCCGCCUGGGGAGUACGGUCGCAAGACUGAAACUCAAAGGAAUUGACGGGGGCCCGCACAAGCGGUGGAGCAUGUGGUUUAAUUCGAAGCAACGCGAAGAACCUUACCAGGUCUUGACAUCCUCUGACAACCCUAGAGAUAGGGCUUUCCCUUCGGGGACAGAGUGACAGGUGGUGCAUGGUUGUCGUCAGCUCGUGUCGUGAGAUGUUGGGUUAAGUCCCGCAACGAGCGCAACCCUUGAUCUUAGUUGCCAGCAUUCAGUUGGGCACUCUAAGGUGACUGCCGGUGACAAACCGGAGGAAGGUGGGGAUGACGUCAAAUCAUCAUGCCCCUUAUGACCUGGGCUACACACGUGCUACAAUGGACAGAACAAAGGGCUGCGAGACCGCAAGGUUUAGCCAAUCCCACAAAUCUGUUCUCAGUUCGGAUCGCAGUCUGCAACUCGACUGCGUGAAGCUGGAAUCGCUAGUAAUCGCGGAUCAGCAUGCCGCGUGAAUACGUUCCCGGGCCUUGUACACACCGCCCGUCACACCACGAGAGUUUGCACACCC
Molecule: ribosomal RNA, 1041 nt
Filed under: Bacillus pumilus
Lineage: Bacteria; Bacillati; Bacillota; Bacilli; Caryophanales; Bacillaceae
Description: bacterial SSU rRNA
Rfam family: Bacterial small subunit ribosomal RNA
Source: RNAcentral